This 253-nucleotide ribosomal RNA is filed under the name uncultured bacterium. RNAcentral describes it as "partial 16S ribosomal RNA". It matches the Rfam family "Bacterial small subunit ribosomal RNA", at positions 524 to 776 of the family's 1533-position model. The record is from RNAcentral.
UACGUAGGUGGCAAGCGUUGUCCGGAUUUACUGGGCGUAAAGAGCGCGCAGGCGGUCGUACAAGUCGCGUGUGAAAGCCCCCGGCUCAACUGGGGAGGGUCACGCGAUACUGUCCGACUCGAAGGCAGGAGAGGGAAGCAGAAUUCCCGGUGUAGUGGUGAAAUGCGUAGAUAUCGGGAGGAAUACCAGUGGCGAAGGCGGCUUCCUGGCCUGUUCUUGACGCUGAGGCGCGAAAGCUAGGGUAGCAAACGGG